Molecule: unclassified non-coding RNA, 148 nt
Organism: Macaca fascicularis (crab-eating macaque)
Lineage: Eukaryota; Metazoa; Chordata; Mammalia; Primates; Cercopithecidae
Rfam family: Metazoan signal recognition particle RNA
About the family: The signal recognition particle (SRP) is a universally conserved ribonucleoprotein. It is involved in the co-translational targeting of proteins to membranes. The eukaryotic SRP consists of a 300-nucleotide 7S RNA and six proteins: SRPs 72, 68, 54, 19, 14, and 9.
Source: Ensembl
GCCGGGUGUUGUGGCGGGCGCCUGUAGUCCCAGCUACUUGGGAGGCUGAGGCAGGAGAAUCGCUUGAACCCGGGAGGCAGAAGUUGCAGUGAGCUGAUAUUGUGCCACUGCAUUCCAGCCUGGGUGACAGAGAGAGACCCUGUCUCAA